AUUUUUGUGUAUAAACAUGACGAUGUUCAGAUGUGUGGGGCACACAGUUCAGUGUCAUGUUUGUGAACAGAGCAUUAAGAAAGGACUGUGUCCUGAGACUGUCCCAGCACACACUGGAGAGAUGAACACAGUAAGCAGAGACACUGGAAACUGUUCUCAAGUUUGUGAGACUAAAGCUUUCCUUCUGCCUUCUUCUCCACACUCCUCAGCACUGUUGAUAAGAAAAUGAAUGCAGGAUGAUCUCUUCUGUUUACAUGUGUUUUGUUGAAAGGCUUUUGCUUUGGGCUAAUUUCUUCCACUUGGCCAGCCAGCUUUUCUCCUGGGAUCUCUGAUGGUUGCUGUGGUGUUUGGCAGCCUGUGGCUCUGCAAGGUGUAAUGACAGGCUCCAAAUUUUCUGCUUUCUUCUGGCACUGUAAUACCUGGUGUUAGAAGUGCUGUUUACAAACUCCUUUUUUCUUUUGAGAGGGAAUGACAGAUUACCAUUCAUCAUAUACACUUGUAAACAUUUCAACUGGAAGUAACCAGAACAGUAGUGCAAUUAUUCUUUGUAACUUUCUCCAGUAUCACUCUUAGACAUUAUAGAUAAACCAGCAUGAGUAUUCUUUUUCCAUCUGAGCAAAAGCCAAUGCAGUUUUGUUUUAGGACUCCCAUCAUGACCAAUUUCCUUUGCUGUCAGUCUACACCUUCUGUUUUUCACUUCUUUCUUA
RNAcentral lists this long non-coding RNA (707 nucleotides) under Coturnix japonica (Japanese quail). Its description in RNAcentral is "lncRNA (ENSCJPG00005016255.1)". Lineage: Eukaryota; Metazoa; Chordata; Aves; Galliformes; Phasianidae. The record is from RNAcentral.